This 529-nucleotide ribosomal RNA is filed under the name uncultured bacterium. RNAcentral's name for it is "bacterial SSU rRNA". It matches the Rfam family "Bacterial small subunit ribosomal RNA", at positions 979 to 1509 of the family's 1533-position model. The record is from RNAcentral.
UCUUGACAUCCAGAGAACUUUCCAGAGAUGGAUUGGUGCCUUCGGGAACUCUGAGACAGGUGCUGCAUGGCUGUCGUCAGCUCGUGUUGUGAAAUGUUGGGUUAACGUCCGCAACGAGCGCAACCCCUAUCCUUUGUGCCAGCGAUUCGGUCGGGAACUCAAAGGAGACUGCCGGUGAUAAACCGGAGGAAGGUGGGGAUGACGUCAAGUCAUCAUGGCCCUUACGAGUAGGGCUACACACGUGCUACAAUGGCGUAUACAAAGAGAAGCGACCUCGCGAGAGCAAGCGGACCUCAUAAAGUACGUCGUAGUCCGGAUUGGAGUCUGCAACUCGACUCCAUGAAGUCGGAAUCGCUAGUAAUCGUAGAUCAGAAUGCUACGGUGAAUACGUUCCCGGGCCUUGUACACACCGCCCGUCACACCAUGGGAGUGGGUUGCAAAAGAAGUAGAUAGCUUAACCUUCGGGAGGGCGUUUACCACUUUGUGAUUCAUGACUGGGGUGAAGUCGUAACAAGGUAGGCGUAGCGAG